GUCUAUGGCCAUGCCACCCUGAACAAGCCCUAUGUCUGAUCUUGGUAGCUAAGCAGCGUCGGGCCUGGUUAGUACUUGGAUGGGAGAUCACCUGGAAAGAUCAGGUGCUGUAGGCA
Non-coding RNA from Pteropus alecto (black flying fox), 116 nucleotides. Lineage: Eukaryota; Metazoa; Chordata; Mammalia; Chiroptera; Pteropodidae. The record is from Rfam.